UACGGGAGGCAGCAGUAGGGAAUCUUCCACAAUGGGCGAAAGCCUGAUGGAGCAACGCCGCGUGAGUGAAAAAGGAUUUCGGUUCGUAAAACUCUGUUGUAAGGGAAAAACAAGUACAGUAGUAACUGGCUGUACCUUGACGGUACCUUAUUAAAAAGCCACGGCUAACUACGUGCCAGCAGCCGCGGUAAUACGUAGGUGGCAAGCGUUGUCCGGAAUUAUUGGGCGUAAAGCGCGCGCAGGUGGUUUCUUAAGUCUGAUGUGAAAGCCCACGGCUCAACCGUGGAGGGUCAUUGGAAACUGGGGAACUUGAGUGCAGAAGAGGAUAGUGGAAUUCCAAGUGUAGCGGUGAAAUGCGUAGAGAUUUGGAGGAACACCAGUGGCGAAGGCGACUAUCUGGUCUGUAACUGACACUGAGGCGCGAAAGCGUGGGGAGCAAACAGGAUUAGAUACCCUGGUAGUCCACGCCGUAAACGAUGAGUGCUAAGUGUUAGGGGGUUUCCGCCCCUUAGUGCUGCAGCUAACGCAUUAAGCACUCCGCCUGGGGAGUACGGUCGCAAGACUGAAACUCAAAGGAAUUGACGGGGGCCCGCACAAGCGGUGGAGCAUGUGGUUUAAUUUGAAGCAACGCGAAGAACCUUACCAGGUCUUGACAUCCCAUUGACCACUGUAGAGAUACAGUUUUCCCUUCGGGGACAACGGUGACAGGUGGUGCAUGGUUGUCGUCAGCUCGUGUCGUGAGAUGUUGGGUUAAGUCCCGCAACGAGCGCAACCCUUGAUCUUAGUUGCCAUCAUUUAGUUGGGCACUCUAAGGUGACUGCCGGUGACAAACCGGAGGAAGGUGGGGAGGACGUCAAAUCAUCAUGCCCCUUAUGACCUGGGCUACACACGUGCUACAAUGGACGAUACAAACGGUUGCCAACUCGCGAGAGGGAGGUAAUCCGAUAAAGUCGUUCUCAGUUCGGAUUGUAGGCUGCAACUCGCCUACAUGAAGCCGGAAUCGCUAGUAAUCGCGGAUCAGCAUGCCGCGGUGAAUACGUUCCCGGGCCUUGUACACACCGCCCGUCACACCACGAGAGUUUGUAACACCCGAAGUCGGUGAGGUAACCUUUUGGAGCCAGCCGCCGCAAGGUGGCAGAGAUGA
This 1144-nucleotide ribosomal RNA is filed under the name Lysinibacillus fusiformis. RNAcentral describes it as "bacterial SSU rRNA". It matches the Rfam family "Bacterial small subunit ribosomal RNA", at positions 340 to 1474 of the family's 1533-position model. Lineage: Bacteria; Bacillati; Bacillota; Bacilli; Caryophanales; Bacillaceae. The record is from RNAcentral.